Molecule: unclassified non-coding RNA, 293 nt
Filed under: uncultured fungus
Lineage: Eukaryota; Fungi
Description: partial contains 5.8S ribosomal RNA, internal transcribed spacer 2, and large subunit ribosomal RNA
Rfam family: 5.8S ribosomal RNA (bases 1-52)
Source: RNAcentral
AACGCAUCUUGCGCUCCUUGGUAUUCCGAGGAGCAUGCCUGUUUGAGUGUCGUGAAAUAACAUCGAUCCCAGCCUCUUGCGAGGCGAAGGGUCGGAUUUGGAUGUUGCAGUCCUUUACAAGGUCUGCUCGUCUUGAAAUGCAUUAGCGUUCCGUCGCGAGAUCGGUCACAACGGUGUGAUAAGUCUACUUCUGGCGCCGUUCCGCGUCUCGCGUGUAAGGAUGCUUCUAAUCGUCUUAGGACAAUUUCAUGUCGUCUGACCUCAAAUCAGGUAGGACUACCCGCUGAACUUAA